UUGACCUCAAAUCAGGUAGGACUACCCGCUGAACUUAAGCAUAUCAAUAAGCGGAGGAAAAGAAACUAACAGGAUUCCCCUAGU
Molecule: ribosomal RNA, 84 nt
Filed under: Gymnopus ocior
Lineage: Eukaryota; Fungi; Basidiomycota; Agaricomycetes; Agaricales; Omphalotaceae
Description: partial 28S ribosomal RNA
Rfam family: Eukaryotic large subunit ribosomal RNA
Source: RNAcentral